UGAGGAAUAUUGGGCAAUGCCCGCAAGGGUGACCCAGCAACGCCGCGUGGAGGAUGAAUGUCGUAAGAUUGUAAACUCCUGUUAGAGGGGAAGAAUAGUACCGGUUGGACCGGUAUAUGACUGUACCCUCAGAGAAAGCCCCGGCUAACUACGUGCCAGCAGCCGCGGUAAUACGGAGGGGGCAAGCGUUGUCCGGAUUUACUGGGUGUAAAGGGCGCGCAGGCGGGAUAAAAAGUCAGUGGUGAAAUCCUACAGCUUAACUGUAGAACUGCCUUUGAUACUGUUACUCUUGAGUUCGGGAGAGAGAGACGGAAUUCCAGGUGUAGGGGUGAAAUACGUAGAUAUCUGGAAGAACACCAGUUGCGAAGGCGGUCUCUUGGUCCGACACUGACGCUGAGGCGCGAAAGCGUGGGGAGCAAAC
RNAcentral lists this ribosomal RNA (421 nucleotides) under uncultured bacterium. RNAcentral describes it as "bacterial SSU rRNA". It matches the Rfam family "Bacterial small subunit ribosomal RNA", at positions 355 to 773 of the family's 1533-position model. The record is from RNAcentral.